Molecule: non-coding RNA, 82 nt
Organism: Coemansia sp. RSA 25
Lineage: Eukaryota; Fungi; Kickxellomycota; Kickxellomycetes; Kickxellales; Kickxellaceae
Source: the annotation of a GenBank genome assembly
GGUCAGAUGGUCGAGUGGUCUAAGACGCAGCGUUUAGGCCGCUGUCUCUCCGGAGGCGUGGGUUCGAGUCCCACUCUGAUCA